GAUGAACGCUGGCGGCGUGCUUAACGCAUGCAAGUCGAACGAUGAAGCCCAGCUUGCUGGGUGGAUUAGUGGCGAACGGGUGAGUAACACGUGAGUAACCUGCCCUUGACUCUGGGAUAAGCCUGGGAAACUGGGUCUAAUACUGGAUAUGACUUCUCAUCGCAUGGUGGGGGGUGGAAAGAUUUAUUGGUCUUGGAUGGACUCGCGGCCUAUCAGCUUGUUGGUGAGGUAAUGGCUCACCAAGGCGACGACGGGUAGCCGGCCUGAGAGGGUGACCGGCCACACUGGGACUGAGACACGGCCCAGACUCCUACGGGAGGCAGCAGUGGGGAAUAUUGCACAAUGGGCGCAAGCCUGAUGCAGCGACGCCGCGUGAGGGAUGACGGCCUUCGGGUUGUAAACCUCUUUCAGUAGGGAAGAAGCGAGAGUGACGGUACCUGCAGAAGAAGCGCCGGCUAACUACGUG
This 466-nucleotide ribosomal RNA is filed under the name uncultured bacterium. RNAcentral describes it as "partial 16S ribosomal RNA". It matches the Rfam family "Bacterial small subunit ribosomal RNA", at positions 28 to 507 of the family's 1533-position model. The record is from RNAcentral.